Molecule: ribosomal RNA, 468 nt
Filed under: uncultured bacterium
Lineage: Bacteria
Description: partial 16S ribosomal RNA
Rfam family: Bacterial small subunit ribosomal RNA
Source: RNAcentral
GACGAACGCUGGCGGCGUGCUUAACACAUGCAAGUCGAACGGAAAGGCCCUGCUUUUGUGGGGUGCUCGAGUGGCGAACGGGUGAGUAACACGUGUGUAACCUGCCCUUGACUUUGGGAUAACUUCAUGCAACUGGGGCUCAUACCGGAUAGGAGCUCCUGCUGCAUGGUGGGGGUUGGAAAGUUUCGGCGGUUGGGGAUGGACUCGCGGCUUAUCAGCUUGUUGGUGGGGUAGUGGCUUACCAAGGCUUUGACGGGUAGCCGGCCUGCGAGGGUGACCGGCCACAUUGGGACGGAGAUACGGCCCAGACUACUACGGGAGGCGACAGUGGGGAAGAGUGCACAAGGGGAGGAAGCCUGAUGCAGCAACGCCGCGUGCGGGAAGACGGCCUGCGGGUUGGAAACCGCUGUCGCCUGUGACGAGGAGUGAGUGACGGUAAUGGGUAAAGAAGCACCGGCUAACUACGUG